CCUACGGGAGGCAGCAGUGAGGAAUAUUGGUCAAUGGUCGGGAGACUGAACCAGCCAAGCCGCGUGAGGGAGGAAGGUCCAGAGUAUCGUAAACCUCUUUUGUCAGGGAACAAAGGCGGGGACGUGUCCCCGGAUGAGUGUACCUGAAGAAAAAGCAUCGGCUAACUCCGUGCCAGCAGCCGCGGUAAUACGGAGGAUGCGAGCGUUUUCCGGAUUUAUUGGGUUUAAGGGGUGCGCAGGCGGUCUGUUAAGUCAGCGGUCAAAGCCCGGGGCUCAACCCCGGCCCGCCGUUGAAACUGGCAGUCGCGAGUUGGAGAGAGGUAAGCGGAAUGCGCGGUGUAGCGGUGAAAUGCAUAGAUAUCGCGAAGAACUCCGAUUGCGAAGGCAGCAUGCCGGCGCCACACUGACGCUGAGGCACGAAAGCGUGGGUAUCGAACAGGAUUAGAUACCCGUGUAGUC
This 459-nucleotide ribosomal RNA is filed under the name uncultured bacterium. Its description in RNAcentral is "partial 16S ribosomal RNA". It matches the Rfam family "Bacterial small subunit ribosomal RNA", at positions 338 to 795 of the family's 1533-position model. The record is from RNAcentral.